ACCUGGAGCUGAUGGCAGAUGCCAUAGAGGCAGGGCUUGGUAUGCUCUUUGACGUAUGUUCCAUUUCCCCAAUUUGACUGUCAACUUGCAGAGGCCAGGGACACUACUGUAUCUAUAGCACUGUCCACAGGGACCCACCCAAAUGCUGUGCUCAUAAGUUACCAUUUAUCAAACUCUUAUGUGCAGUCACUUUGCUAAGUGCUUUACAUAAUGCAUUUCAUAAUCAUCCCCACUUCACAGGUGGGGAGACUGAGUCACAGAGACAUGAAGUCUCACAGGCUGGAAGCAGCAGAGCUGGGCUCGAAACCGGGUAUCUGCCUCCCUGGUUUUAGUCCUUAGGAACUGUGCUAGAUGUAUUUAUAGUUGGGGGAGGGGGCCCUUUGCCCAGGAAGUUUGUCAGACCCCACCGCCCACCGCCAAGAAACCACAACUGGAGGACAGCCCAGCCCAAGAAGGCUGCCUGCUGGCUAUAGGUAGGUUUAAGAGGGAUAAAAUUAUUUUUAGGGAGAGUAUCGUAAAAUGAUAUGAUUUUGAGAGGGUGCAGAGAAGUGGGGAAUAUGACUUACAGUCACUGGCUUGCCCAGUUUACGGCUUUAAUUAAUCUGAAACUGCAACAUAGAUUUUUAUGAUUAGUAGGGACAUCUCAGUGAGCAGAGAAAGAACCUUUAACGAUAAUCUCAAGAUGAAUCUGGGAGAUGAAAUAUCCAUGCAAUAAACAAGGCGGUGUUCGAGGGAGUCAAGUAAAUGUAAAUCCCAGGCCAUCAGAACAGUAUCCGUCAUCAGAACAGUAUCCUUGGACCUGUCCCUUGCAGAAGAAACAGCCAUCCUUGAACCAAGGGCAGGACUGCACGGAGGCUGGGUCAAGUUCAAUGAGUUAUUCUUUGUAUGCGUGACCAAGGAGGCCCAGCCAGGGAGCAGGGGCACUGAGUCAGUUCCCUGCUCCUUGGUCUUUUGGUCUGGAUCUGUCCCACUGUCAUUGUCACUUUCAAGGAUCAGCUCCUUAGGGAGGGCCUGAACCAAUUCUUUGGAGGCUUCACCUUUCUCACCACUGCUGCGGAAGCUGAUGGACCAGGAGAGUUGCCUGUUGCCCUGAAGAUGCUAAUCUACUGGUUUGUGUUUUAUGAAGCCAUACCCCAGAGCCAGUGAACUGAGAAAGAAGAGGUUAGGGGAGAGAGAGGUGAGCUGUGGUUAUGCAAACAUCUCCCCCUCCAUGAAAUUUGUUGAAGUAACUGCCCACUUCAAAACCCCUUUUGGAUAAUUUUAUGGACUGAAUGUUUGCCCCACUUCCCUGGAUUCAUAGCCCUACCCCCUCCAUGUGACUACAUUUGGAGAUGGGCCAUCCAAGGAGGUAAUUAAGGUUAAGUGAGGUCAUAAGGAUUGCCAGCUACCAUCUUGUUUCAUGACAGCUAAUGACUGGCUGGACCAGAGAUUGGUACCAGGCUGUAUCUGAAGUCUUUUAGGAAAGUACCAAGCUUGGCAUAAGUCAAGCACUUCAUUUUGGUUUAUUCCAGAAUGAAAAGUCCAUAAACUGGGUAUUAUCAAUACCCUCAUUUUAUAGAUGAUUUUCUGAGUGGCACGUAGUGGGAGCCUGCACUCCUACCCACCUCCAGUUCCUGCUCUGGCUCCCUGGAGUGACAAGAAAGAGCAAGCUGGGGGAUGGGUAGGGGACAUGCCCCUUGGGAGGCUCUCCCAGCCUCCUGCAGGACCAAGGUAACCUUGGGUCUGAUGAAACAGUGUUGCUCCAAGUGGUGCUACCUGCCACCUCUGACACAUACGCCCUCCCAGUAAUGGCAUGGCGUGUAUCCCUUCUGAAAAUGAAAUUAUCAGGGAGCGCCUUAGGUGCAAAGGAAUGUAUGAAUUCCUCAAAAACAAAACAUUAGUCACUGGCAUUUCUUGAGGGCUUACUAUGUGCCGAGCACCAUAUAUUUACUGUUUCAUGUAAGUCACACAAUAGUCCUCUGAGUUAGGUGUCACUAUUAUCCCCACUUUAUGAAAAAGGAAAUUAAAGCUGAGAGAGGUUAAGAAACCUGCCCAAAGUCGAAGAGAAUUUAAUUGGUUUUGUAUGAGUGGGAGGACCUUGGGUAACUAAGACAGUUUGAAAUUGGACAUCAAGCCCACUUUACAGCAGGGCUGUCCAAAGAGAUUUGUCCCUUCAUAGGUAGUGAGAUUCUUAUCACUACAGGCAGUUCAGCAGAAGGGAGACCCUCCCUGGAUGGGGAUGACAUGACAGAGCUGUAGCUUUGGGUGCUUUAACCCAGUUUGGGUUAAACUGGAUAGAUUUGAAGGCCCUUUCAAAUCCAAGUCGCCUCUCUUUUGAAACAGUUUGUGUGGAGUGUCACCCAGUCCUGUUGGUGAGCGCCAGACGGGUAGGGCACAGAGGAAGGCGGAUAUGUUGGAGACACGGAUUGUCCUGUGCAGUUAACCGUUCUCAGAUUGACUGACCAUCACCCUAAUCCAGUCUGUGUUUUCACUUCUCGGUAAGCCUACAUGGGGAGUUCAAUCUCCGCUUGAACCUCUCAGGGAUGGAGAGGCUACUCAAGGCCACUCCCCAAGACUGAAAACCUGGCCUCAUGAUAUUCCUUUAGAAACAUCUGGUCUACCUGCCUUCGGGCAGCUCAGACAUCUGCCUCCACCUGCAUUUUGGUGUGCCUGGAAGUGGGCGAGGUGUGCUGGCUUGGGAAGACUGGCUUGGGGAGGUGGUCCCUUUGGGAGGAGGAUGGAGGAGCAGAGAGGAGAGAGAGGCAAGAGAACCUCCAACACCAUCCACUCUCUCCUCUUUCCAUUCCUUCUAGGAGCCAGGAAGCUGGUUCCGCGACUUUUGUAGCUUUCGAAAGGUGGUAUUUAUUUAAUCCCCUGAAAUUUCAGCUGACUCUGGGCAGGGAAGUGACUGUCCUUAACUUGUGUGCUCAGUCACAAAUGUCCACUUGCCUGUUACCAUGUGCUUGCUGGGCUGAGAGUCAAUAAUUUCCAGGACUUGGAGCACCAGCUCCCACAAGGUGUCGGCUUUACAAGUAUCUUAAAAUCCCCUAGUUACAACCAGAAGCCCAGCCAAAAUUAAGCAGGGCCUCAUGUUGGAGCAAAAAAGAAUAGAUUCUGUUUGCACCCAUGCUUACAUGAGUCUGGGCCACAUUCACUGUGAUAUAUUUUCACAUAUGACUUGGUCGCAGAGGUGUGCGGCUUCAGAACUGGACUCUGGCCUCAUGUUGUUGCCUCAGAAGGCCUUGUAUCUCCACCUUCAUUUUACAGAACGCAGGUCUAGAGCCAGGCCAGGCUGUCAGCCUGGGGUUCAUGAACUCCUCAAGAUUCUGCGGGAUUUGAUUCUAGGUCAGUCGUUCUAUGAAAGCUCCAAGAAUCUGCACUUUAAAAUAAGGGCCGCUGGAAUUCCCUGGUGGCUCAGCGGGCUAAGGAUCCAAUAUUUUCACUGCUGUGGCUCUGACUACAGCUGUGGCAUGGGUGUGAUCCCAGCCUAGGAACUUCUGCAUGCCAUGGGUAUGGCCAAGAUAAAAAAUUAAGACAAAAUAAAAUAAGGGCCCCAAGUGAUGUUUAUAAUUUUGGGAAAACUGAAUUAAGGAACUCCUGAGAUAUUAGUGGCUAAAGUGGGGCUAGACACGAGGCCUCAUGCCUCUGCUCACAUUACAUGUGUGUGUGCAGAUGAGGGAGUUGGCCUGGACACAUGAGGGUUUGCGCAGGUGUAUCUGCCUCCAUAGACGGCUGCUACCCUCCUGGCUCACAGUUCACGGGGAAAAGUCAGUCGGGCCCAGAACACGGGUGAUGAAGGGAUUCGCCAUACAGAGGUCUUCCCGUUUACACCUCUGCCUUCCAGCCCUUAGUUGUUUGCAUUAUCUAAACCCAGCCCUGAUUGCUUUCCUCUCUGGGAGUCAGGCCUGCGCUGAGUCAGGGAGAGUUAGGAGUGAUUUGAACUCAUCUCCAUCUGCCUGUAGGCUUCAGUUUCUCCUGAUGUGAAAUAGGAGAGGCUGACUUGAAACCACAAACCACCGAAUAAAAUCAAAACCUAGGAGUUCCCAUUGCGGCUCAGUGGGUUGAGAACCCAACUAGUAUCCAUUAGGAUGCGGGUUCAAUCCCUGGCCUUGCUCAGUGGGUUAAGGACCCAAUGUUGCCAUGAGCUGUGGUGUAGGUCCAAGACAUGGCUUGGAUCUGGUGUUGCACUGUGGCUGUGAUACAGACCAGCAGUUGCAGCUCUAAUUUGAUCCCUAGC
RNAcentral lists this long non-coding RNA (4216 nucleotides) under Sus scrofa (pig). Its description in RNAcentral is "lncRNA (ENSSSCG00065021671.1)". The record is from RNAcentral. Lineage: Eukaryota; Metazoa; Chordata; Mammalia; Artiodactyla; Suidae.